AUACAUUUUUAAAUUAAAAGUAACUUUUUUCUUCUCCAUGGGGCCCAGUGUGCAAUGGCUGCAAACAGCAGCCUCCUUGGUAGUGUAUGCAGCCUGUUGAUUGUACAGGUUGCCCUAAGGGACCUUGGAGACAGUU
The sequence is a small nucleolar RNA, 136 nucleotides long. Its record names the gene SNORA70. It matches the Rfam family "Small nucleolar RNA SNORA70". Rfam says of the family: snoRNA U70 seems to be exclusive to mammals and is a member of the H/ACA class of snoRNA which contain H (ANANNA) and ACA box motifs. H/ACA box snoRNAs are involved in the conversion of uridines to pseudouridines (5-ribosyluracil) a constituent of structural RNAs (transfer, ribosomal, small nuclear, and small nucleolar). The record is from Ensembl.